GUGGGGAAUUUUGGACAAUGGGCGCAAGCCUGAUCCAGCAAUGCCGCGUGCAGGAAGAAGGCCUUCGGGUUGUAAACUGCUUUUGUACGGAACGAAACGGUCCGGGUUAAUACCCUGGGCUAAUGACGGUACCGUAAGAAUAAGCACCGGCUAACUACGUGCCAGCAGCCGCGGUAAUACGUAGGGUGCAAGCGUUAAUCGGAAUUACUGGGCGUAAAGCGUGCGCAGGCGGUUUUGUAAGACAGGCGUGAAAUCCCCGGGCUCAACCUGGGAAUUGCGCUUGUGACUGCAAGGCUGGAGUGCGGCAGAGGGGGAUGGAAUUCCGCGUGUAGCAGUGAAAUGCGUAGAUAUGCGGAGGAACACCGAUGGCGAAGGCAAUCCACUGGGCCUGCACUGACGCUCAUGCACGAAAGCGUGGGGAGCAAACAGGAUUAGAAACCCGAGUAGUCC
This 450-nucleotide ribosomal RNA is filed under the name uncultured bacterium. RNAcentral describes it as "partial 16S ribosomal RNA". It matches the Rfam family "Bacterial small subunit ribosomal RNA", at positions 354 to 796 of the family's 1533-position model. The record is from RNAcentral.